Long non-coding RNA from Schistocerca gregaria, 345 nucleotides. RefSeq lists it as uncharacterized. Lineage: Eukaryota; Metazoa; Arthropoda; Insecta; Orthoptera; Acrididae. The record is from RefSeq and is a predicted model, not a curated record. The transcript is spliced from 3 exons.
CAAGUCGCCUGAACUCUGAGAUACGCCGAAGAAACGCAUGGCAGGCGGAGUCGGUUAGCGAGGGCCACACGCUCAGUGGACAAAAGCGACACACACUGUUCUUCCGUUUGGUGCGGUAACAACUGAUACGAAAAAUGGCUGAAUCUAAUAAUAAAUGUCGACAAUACAGUAUUGAUUAUUUGAAAUUUGGUUUUCUUCCAGCAAAGGCAGACAAACGAUGCCCUUACGUCUUUUAUGCAAAAAAAGUUUUGAGCAAUGACUAUGAAACCAUCGAAGCUCGAAGAUCAUCUAAGAAGGUGUCAUCCCGAUGAAAUAGUUCGCUACUGGGCUAAGCGAAGAGACGUG